Apodemus sylvaticus (European woodmouse) is the source of this 132-nucleotide small nucleolar RNA. RefSeq annotates it as small nucleolar RNA SNORA17. NCBI's taxonomy places the organism in Eukaryota, Metazoa, Chordata, Mammalia, Rodentia, Muridae. The record is from RefSeq and is a predicted model, not a curated record. The transcript has a single exon.
UACGUCCCUUGCGUUAUUCCAGAUAUGGCUGCUAUGUCACAUGUGUAUGAGUUGGUGGCAGAGAUGAGAGAAACUUUGAUUAUGGUCAGUGUCCUGACCUAUGAACAUCUGAAUGAUUAGUAGCCUGACAUU